Oncorhynchus tshawytscha (Chinook salmon) is the source of this 684-nucleotide long non-coding RNA. The record is from Ensembl. Lineage: Eukaryota; Metazoa; Chordata; Actinopteri; Salmoniformes; Salmonidae.
UUUUUAACUUCUUAUUUCUGCUUCCUGCCUCCAUGUUCGAGUUUUUCAUGGUUAUUUUGUUUUUGGGUGGCUGCUUGUUAGUUAGCCACCUCUUUCCGCCGUCCAGUAGGAGGAUAUAGAUGAAAGGCAGGCAGAAUGCUCGGUAGAGGGAUGCCGUCUACUUAAAGGUCAUUUAUUUCCUCUGUCACUUUGUUAGGGCGAGGGAGGAAAAGACGAAACGCAGUGUUUUUAUGACCCCCAGUGUUGGUAGGCGGCUUCCUAGGAAGAAUAUGCUUCUUCUUCUCUGUUUAAUUCAUGUCCUCGGAGGUGUUGUGUUAGGUGUUGUGUUAGGUGUUGUGUUAGGUGUUGUGUUAGGUGUUAUGUUAGGUGUUAUGUUAGGUGUUAUGUUAGGUGUUGUGUUAGGUGUUAUGUUAGGUGUUAUGUUAGGUGUUGUGUUAGGUGUUAUGUUAGGUGUUAUGUUAGGUGUUGUGUUAGGUGUUGUGUUAGGUGUUAUGUUAGGUGUUAUGUUAGGUGUUAUGUUAGGUGUUAUGUUAGGUGUUAUGUUAGGUGUUAUGUUAGGUGUGUGUUAGGUGUUAUGUUAGGUGUUAUGUUAGGUGUUGUGUUAGGUGUUGUGUUAGGUGUUGUGUUAGGUGUUAUGUUAGGUGUUAUGUUAGGUGUUAUGUUAGGUGUUAUGUUAGGUGUUAU